RNAcentral lists this ribosomal RNA (657 nucleotides) under Arthrobacter sp. DJM1F3. Its description in RNAcentral is "bacterial SSU rRNA". It matches the Rfam family "Bacterial small subunit ribosomal RNA", at positions 831 to 1487 of the family's 1533-position model. The record is from RNAcentral. Lineage: Bacteria; Bacillati; Actinomycetota; Actinomycetes; Micrococcales; Micrococcaceae. RNAcentral also lists the same sequence under 1 other name.
UCCACGUUUUCCGCGCCGUAGCUAACGCAUUAAGUGCCCCGCCUGGGGAGUACGGCCGCAAGGCUAAAACUCAAAGGAAUUGACGGGGGCCCGCACAAGCGGCGGAGCAUGCGGAUUAAUUCGAUGCAACGCGAAGAACCUUACCAAGGCUUGACAUGGGCCGGAUCGCCGCAGAAAUGUGGUUUCCCCUUUGGGGCCGGUUCACAGGUGGUGCAUGGUUGUCGUCAGCUCGUGUCGUGAGAUGUUGGGUUAAGUCCCGCAACGAGCGCAACCCUCGUUCUAUGUUGCCAGCGCGUGAUGGCGGGGACUCAUAGGAGACUGCCGGGGUCAACUCGGAGGAAGGUGGGGACGACGUCAAAUCAUCAUGCCCCUUAUGUCUUGGGCUUCACGCAUGCUACAAUGGCCGGUACAAAGGGUUGCGAUACUGUGAGGUGGAGCUAAUCCCAAAAAGCCGGUCUCAGUUCGGAUUGGGGUCUGCAACUCGACCCCAUGAAGUCGGAGUCGCUAGUAAUCGCAGAUCAGCAACGCUGCGGUGAAUACGUUCCCGGGCCUUGUACACACCGCCCGUCAAGUCACGAAAGUUGUAACACCCGAAGCCGGUGCCUAACCCCUUGUGGAGGGAGCUGUCGAAGGUGGGACUGGCGAUUGGACUAAGUC